AGGAACAACAACUGUGGCUGCGGCCAGCUCUCCAGCCCUGGAGUCAGUUCCUGCAGUAACUACAGCAGCUCCCAGUCUGCAGGGGCCUGGAUGUUUCCGGGGCGGG
Molecule: microRNA precursor, 106 nt
Filed under: Canis lupus familiaris (dog)
Lineage: Eukaryota; Metazoa; Chordata; Mammalia; Carnivora; Canidae
Description: mir-8834 microRNA precursor family
Rfam family: mir-8834 microRNA precursor family
Source: Rfam by way of RNAcentral